RNAcentral lists this long non-coding RNA (416 nucleotides) under Lathyrus oleraceus (garden pea). Its description in RNAcentral is "Pisum sativum (pea) long non-coding RNA (PSAT_LNC035368)". The record is from RNAcentral. Lineage: Eukaryota; Viridiplantae; Streptophyta; Magnoliopsida; Fabales; Fabaceae.
AAUAAGGUUUCUUGUUGUUUGGUUGUGUAUUUCGUCGGACAACCAACAGUUUGUUGUGAGGCGAAGGAAGGGGGUUUCCGGCAGAUGAGGUUUCGUGGAGGGAGCUCGUCGGUAGUGAUAUUGUUGUUCGACGGUGUGGUUAUGAAGUGGUUCUUUGGUUGAUGGAAGACGGUGAAGUGAAGCACGGUAAAGUAGGUUGGGUUUGCCGGCGGCGAAGGUGAAGGGUUGUUGAUGACGGUGUGUGAGCAAGCUUUUCCCCGGUAUUGGUGGCGGAUGGAGAGAGGAUGGGGUUUGGUUUUUGUGUGUUGAAGUGGAGAUGAAGGAAGAAGAAGGUUAUGGUGGUGGCUUGCGUUUCGUGGACGGAGAUGUGGGGAGCGGCGAUGAGGGUUUGUGUUGAGAGAGAGAGCUUCUUUUUC